GAUCAUGGCUCAGGAUGAACGCUAGCGGCAGGCCUAACACAUGCAAGUCGAGGGGCAUCGGGAUUGAAGCUUGCUUCAAUUGCCGGCGACCGGCGCACGGGUGCGUAACGCGUAUGUAACCUACCUAUAACAGGGGCAUAACACUGAGAAAUUGGUACUAAUUCCCCACUAAUAUUCGUAGAGGCGAUCUCUCCGGGUUCGGAAACUACCGUCGGUUGUAGAUGGACGAUGCGUUGUUAUUAGU
RNAcentral lists this ribosomal RNA (244 nucleotides) under uncultured bacterium. Its description in RNAcentral is "partial 16S ribosomal RNA". It matches the Rfam family "Bacterial small subunit ribosomal RNA", at positions 15 to 245 of the family's 1533-position model. The record is from RNAcentral.